CCUACGGGAGGCAGCAGUAGGGAAUCUUCCGCAAUGGACGAGAGUCUGACGGAGCAACGCCGCGUGAACGAUGAAGGCCUUCGGGUCGUAAAGUUCUGUUGUUAGGGAAGAACAAGUGCUAGUUGAAUAAGCUGGCACCUUGACGGUACCUAACCAGAAAGCCACGGCUAACUACGUGCCAGCAGCCGCGGUAAUACGUAGGUGGCAAGCGUUGUCCGGAAUUAUUGGGCGUAAAGCGCGCGCAGGCGGUUUCUUAAGUCUGAUGUGAAAGCCCCCGGCUCAACCGGGGAGGGUCAUUGGAAACUGGGAAACUUGAGUGCAGAAGAGGAAAGUGGAAUUCCAAGUGUAGCGGUGAAAUGCGUAGAGAUUUGGAGGAACACCAGUGGCGAAGGCGACUUUCUGGUCUGUAACUGACGCUGAGGCGCGAAAGCGUGGGGAGCAAACAGGAUUAGAUACCCUGGUAGUCCACGCUGUAAACGAUGAGUGCUAAGUGUUAGAGGGUUUCCGCCUUUAGUGCUGAAGUUAACGCAUUAAGCACUCCGCCUGGGGAGGUACGGUCGCGAGACUGAACGUACAAAUAGAAGUUAGUACGGCGUGAGACGUGCCGAACGGACGACGACGACGGGAGGUUAGGG
Molecule: ribosomal RNA, 635 nt
Filed under: uncultured bacterium
Lineage: Bacteria
Description: bacterial SSU rRNA
Rfam family: Bacterial small subunit ribosomal RNA (bases 1-544)
Source: RNAcentral